Triticum dicoccoides is the source of this 834-nucleotide long non-coding RNA. RefSeq lists it as uncharacterized. The transcript has 4 exons. Lineage: Eukaryota; Viridiplantae; Streptophyta; Magnoliopsida; Poales; Poaceae. The record is from RefSeq and is a predicted model, not a curated record.
UUGAUUCUUUUGCAGGAACUGGAUCCUUCACAGAAGGAGCCGUAAACCGAACGACCUUAUCACUACCCUAUUGAAGGAGUUUUGGCCCGGAUCUGCGAGUUUUGGCCACGAGUUGGGUCCACUACGAGGCUUCUAGCCACGCGGAGUACGGGACGACCGCUAAGGCCGUGAUCACCAAAUUUUGGGAACUCUAUAGAGUACUUGACGAGCACAAGGCUAGAGCCGACGUGGUCUUGCUGGCGGCUGCGAAGAAGAAAGCUCGUCAGUUGCAGUACGAGGUGCGCUGGGUUGCCGUCUCGCACUACUACCACACCUACCUUCAUCAAAAGAUGAGCAAAACUGAAGCGCAAAAGCAACGACUUACCUUGAACAGGGAGCAGUUCAUGAGGGUUAUUCCUCCUUGGUGCUAUGGAAAGGAUGAUGGAUAGGCGAGUUUGAUGGAUAGGUGGCUCGGUGAAGAUGCAAAGUUUGCUGCCAAGAGCAGCAAGGCCCGGGCUAACCGUGGAAAAGACGGGACACACGGCCAAGGAAACAGGAAUCACUGGGGCUUCAAGGCCAUGAAGGAGGACAAGUUGAAGAGGCCACUCUCAAACAUGGAGUCAUGGAAGAUGGCCCGUGAGCGGAGGAUCGCAAGGUUGGCAAGAGCGAGUACUACAGCAAGACCGAGGAGCACUUGGAGUCUUACACUCAGCAGUUUAAGAGGUUGCAGCCGCCUGGUGGUGGCCAUCCAACCGAAGUCCCAUUGACGCUACCCGUGUUUCGAUGGCUUGAUCACUCCUUCGGUCUCGUACACACGGCUUCGGGAUACCAACCCGAGCCCGUUAGAGAGUACGG